Molecule: non-coding RNA, 746 nt
Organism: Cyanistes caeruleus (blue tit)
Lineage: Eukaryota; Metazoa; Chordata; Aves; Passeriformes; Paridae
Source: RefSeq, a predicted model, not a curated record
UUGACUUUCCCCACGAGGGCACCACCCCAGCUUCAGCCUGUCCCUUGGCUCGCCCUCCAUCCCAGCGUGGCAUUCCCUGCCGUGGUGCCCGGCCUGCCUGGAGCUCGCGGCGCCUCAGCCCCAGGGCUCCGCAGGCCACCACGGCCACCGCCGGCUUUAGGAGCUGGAUGGGGAGCACAUCCUCCCUGCCAAGCCUCUCUUCAAAAGGACUUAGAGCCGUGUCUAAGGGCUGAUGGGGAAGGCAGGGUACCCCAAAGACAGGUGGUGGCUGAAUUCAGAGCAACUGGCUCAGGGCAUCCCCCAGCAAAGUGUUCAAAACCCACUUCUGGGGGAUAACAGGAGAGAUGAAACACAUCUCAUGCCAUCCUCAGCAGUCCCUGAGGGGGAGAGAUGGCUAGCAGCCACCAGCACUCUUUCUGAACCAAGAUGAUGAUGGAUCAAGGUACAGAAGUGGGCAAGGUUCAGAGAUUUUAGCCUAAAUAGCUGUAAUUCCCAGAAUGGGAUGGGGGCCAAAGGGAAUUCACUGAGGCAGUCAGGCUUUCCAGCAGCCUGGCAUCUCCUUAGUCCACAAUGGAAAUUAAUCACUGAACUCAGGGAAACUCACCUUAAAUGAAGAAAAAAAACCACAAAACAAACACCACCAACUUUGCUGAGGAGGCACUUUAAAUGAAAAAAAUCAAACUCCACGACUAUGCACAUCCAGCCUGUUGAAAUGACACCGCAAUUAAAACUUAAUGAAAAGCGCC